UUUUUUUGUUUUUUUUUUUUUUUUCAGAUUUUUUAAGUACAAUAAUUCUUACAUGAACAAAGAGGAUUUAAUCAGAAAAUUCACAUCCAGAGAGAGGAAUAUAAUAGGGGAAUAGAACUUCACGUAAGGAGCAGAGGGGUGCUGAUGGCACAUAUACAGAGUCUACCUAUUAACUCAAGCGAAUAUCAUGUGUUCUAGAAGAAAAAAAAAAAACCAUAAAAUACAUACUAGGGAGUCUUGUGUCAUUGUGAGACAGGGACUGGUUAAGGACAGGACACAGAGCAGAGCAAACAAAUUGCCAGGACUGAUGGCUCCAAAAGACAGUGGGGAAAUAUAAUCCAGCUUUCUCUACCUCCCAUAACUCUGGACACUGCUGCUGUAUUAAUUCAAGCUCAACUGCCAAUGAAGGUCUGAAGCCGUGGAGUGGAGGUUAUCUUUGAUGAGGACUAUGGGUAAACCCCCGGACAUCCCUUUCCAAGCGAACCUAAAAAGAACAAAAGAAGUUUUCUACUUGGUGACUCUUAAAAUUCCCUGAACAAGGCCAUGAAGUGAAAGAUUUCUACCUUUCGUACUAUAACCAAAGAAGAGGUCAUUCUGUAUUAACACUUCAGCGUGAGUGAGUGUAGCAGCGUAGGUGGUAUAUAAUCACUACUCUGAUCUUUGAAAAGGGGGGGAAGUGCAUUUUUGUAACAAUAUUGUGUGUUGGAUCAGAGCAACUGAGUUUAUCACCAGGGAGGGAGGAAGAAAGAAGAGUUGAGGGAUGCUUGACAGCUACAGAACUCUGCUUCUUGUACAUUUAUUUGGAGAGAUACAAACAGAAGCAGCACACAGAGGCAUUUUUAUCUGGCCUUGCUUCACUGAUGUGAUUUAUGACAGGAGGAGUGUUUUAACAAGGCUGAUGUCUUACAAAGGGCCGUCGUUCCCAGGGGAUGCAUUCAGUGCAGUGCCACACAGAUCUGUGGGAAGAUAUAAGGUGUUGUCACCAAGGGCAGGAAGGAGGAUGAGAUGAUCUUGCUUCUCACUCUUUCUCAGUGCCAUUAUUCUAAGAUCUAUAAAAAACAAAGCCUUCGUCCCUUAGUGUGUGGGUUUUUUUUUUUUUUUUUUAAAUAGUGGCUUGAGCUAUAUUUAUUACAGACGUAGGGCUAAAUCAGACUUUGUCAACAACUCCUGGACUGUGUUUAGAGGAGGCAUAAACAUUCCCCUGGGAGUUACACACACAGUUCUGGUAUUAAAUACUCUUCUUAUAACAUCCAAUGUGCUGUUUUUAUUGAAGUUAACAGAGUUAUUCCAACAAUUCCCCAAGUCAUGAAAGACAUAAUGGUUCUGCUAUAAUCCUCAGCAUAUUCAUAUUAACUGUCAGAUUAAUUAGACGAUUAGGUUGCUAGGUGUCAGCAUCUGAGAGAGGUGCCGAGGAGACAGAACUGGGUAUGAUACAGACUGUGACCUGGAAGAAAAGUCUGGGGAGUAGCUGGCAUGACAUGCCAUUAGAAUGCAAAUGAAGUAGGGACUUGAAAGCCACAUGACCAAACUCUAUGGUAGAGAUAUGGAAUAGAGGAUUGGUUUUGAAAGAAAAUUCUUCUAAUUGUAAAAGUAAUAUAACUAUAUAAUGUUCAAAGUUGGGCUUCUUUCGCGUCUCAUGUUCUCAAGGUUGAUCCAUGUUGUAGCCUGUGUGUGAGCACUUCAUCCUUUUUUUGUAUAAAUCUACUGUAUGGAUAUCUAUACACACAUUUUCUUUAUUCAUUCAUCAAUGGAUGAACACAAAAGUCAUUUCCACUUUUGACUCUCACGAAUAAUGCUCUGAACACUCAUGUACAAGUUUGUGUGUAGACAUAUGUUUUCAAUUCUCUUCAAAAUAUACCUAGGUUCAUGCUUGUUGGGUUACAUGGUAACUCAAUGUCUUGAGGAACAGCCAAACUCUUUGUCAAAAGAGGCUUCUCAUCACAAAGUAUUUUAUUGAUUGGUUUCACAAUCACAUAUUUUAGCUUUGUCAUAUUGUAGCACAUUUAAUAUGCUUUCAGUUUGGAUAUGUUUAAUAUUUUCAUUCCUAUAACCUUUUAUUUUUUUGAAUUGUAUUAAGGCAGGGUCCAAUUUUGAGUCUUGUUUUUAGCAUUUUUUUACUUUUUGUUUUGUUUUGUUUUAAUGGCCAUACCCACAGCAUAAUGAAGUUCCCAGGUGAGGCGCUAAAAAGACAAACAAAACAAAACAAAAACAAACAAACAAAACCUUCCAAUAACAACCAUUCUUUAUGGGGAGCAUAAACACUUCUUUAUGCUAGCAACAAACACUUUUAGUUUUGCUUCAUUUAAGAAUAUCAUUAUUUUUCCUUCAUUUCUGGAGGAUAGUUUGGACAAACAAAGAUCUUUCAGUUAAUUUUUUUUCUUCCAGCAGAAAAAUGUUGUACCACCUCCUUUUAUCCCCCAUGGUUCCUGAUGAGAAAUCUGCUGUCAUUUAAAAUGUGUUCCGCUAUAGUGUGGUGUCACUUCUCUUUGGAUGCUUUAAUUUUUUUUUGUUUUCACAUAUUUAAUUAUAAAAUGUCUUUGAAUUGAUUUCUUUCAGCCUAUCCAGUUUGGGGUUCACUCAGCCUCUUGAACCUGCACGUUUAUCUUUUGCGAAAUUUGAGAUGUUUUCAUCCAUCAUUUCUUUGCAUAUUCAUUCAUUCAUUCAGCUCUAUUCUUUUUCUCCUCUGCUUCCUAGAUUACAAAUAUAUGAAUGUUGGCUGUUUUGUUACUGUCCCACAGGCCACAGGUUCUUGUUUUUUUCUCCAGCUCUCUUUGUUAUUCAGAUUUAGUAAUUUUUUUUAAAAAUUUUGCUUUUUAGGGCCACACAUGCAGCAUAUGGAAGUUCCCAGGCUAGGGGUCAAAUCGAAGCUACAGCUGCCAGCUUACACCACAGUCACAGCAAUGUGGGAUCCAAGCUGUGUCUGUGACCUACACCAGAGCACACAGCAAUGCUGGAUCCUUAACCCACUGAGUGAAGCCAAAGGAUUGAACCCACAUCCUCAUGGAUACUAGUCAGAUUCAUUUCUGCUGAGCCACGAUGGGAACUCCCCAUAUUUAGUAAUUCUUUUGAUUUAUUUUCAAGUUCACCGAUUCUAUCAUCAGUCAUUUUUACUCUAUUAUAGAACCCAUCCAAUGAGUUUUAAAAUUUUGGUUACUGUAUUUUUCAGUUAUAUAAUUGCCAUUAUUUCUUUUUAAAAAAUUAACAUAUAAUGCACAUGCCAUAAUGGUUCUUUUGUUAAUUUAAAAAACUAUUUUUUUAACUGUUUCUUUGCUGAGACUUUCUAUUGUUGUUUCAAAAGGAAAAAAAUAACCUCUGGGUUAGGGGAAGAGAGCCUCCCCCCCAUGGUGAUGAAGACUUCUGGGUCAGACACUUCUGUGGUGGGCUUCCCAGUGUCUCGCAGCAAAUGAGGAGUCUCAGAGCUUGUAGGGAAAUAGUGCUCCUCCUGGACACUUGUUCUGGGGAUCCCUUCACACUGCCCUUGUUGGUUUUUCAGACUCACCUGGUGUUGUGGGCAGGCCUCCUGUUCCAUCCUUGGCUCCCUUAUGUUGUUGACUUGGUGGUCAGAAAACAUCAAGCCUGGGUCACAAUCUUCUGUUGGGUGGGAGGUCAUAAGACAACCUCUAAUUAUGUUCCCCUUCUAGUUUUGGGAGUAUUUAGCUUAUUUAUUUUCUUCUUUAUGUCUUUCAGAGUUCUCUUUUCAGUGCCUCUUGCAUUCUUACAAUCCUUAUCCAGAACUGAUCAUUGUACUUAUCAGAAAGGAUCAAAAAGAAAUGAGUUUGUCCUCUUAACCAGACAACAAAUCAGAACUCAAUAUUUUUUAAAGAUUUCCAUCUGCACAAUUUCUCCAAUAGUCAGAAACUCAAAUCCUGUCCUAGAAUUAUUUUUUAAAUUGUUACAUCAAAGUUGAGUAAAUUUGGCUAUUUCUUUGUGUAUAUAGGAAGUGGCAAAUUAAACAGUUCUCAGAACAAUGACUUAAAGACUCUGUUUAAACUCUACAGUAUGACAACCUUUUGCAUCUUCAAUGUAAAUGCAGUAUGGUGACUAUAUUCAUGCAUUUAACAAGUAUUUAUUGAGUUCUUACUUUGUGCCAGGCACUGUUUCAGUCACUGGCAAGAUAGCAAAUUUAAAAAAAUUAAAAAUCCAUGUCCCCUUGGAAGAUCACAUUCUUUAAACUUUGGAAUACUUUUCAUUUAAAACCAAUUUAAGUCAUAGCAACUAUCCAGUUUAUUGUCUACAUCCAUAGGAUGAGCUCUCAAAUAGCAAACUGAACUUACAUCUAACUACACAAAAAGUAUCACCUUCCAUUCAAUCUUUGAAUGUGUGUAUAAAAUUUAACUGUACUUGUAUAAAGAACUAACUGAGGAAAACAACUAUUUCAGUAAAAAUUAUAUUUAUGCUAGAUUAAAUUCAGAAGGCUGAAACCUGUUAAAUGUCUACAUGUUUAGCUAGGCUUACAAAUCAGGUUGUAAAUAUGCGUGUACCUAAGAGGUGAGAUUAAAAGGGUGGAGUAGAAGGGACUUAAAACUCACCUUCUCUCGUGAAAACACCAAAAUUACAACCAACUGCUGAACAACCAUCAACAAAAGAGACUGGAAACUACCAAAAAAGAUAUCUUACACCCAAAGGCCAAGAAGGAGCCAUAUCAAGACAGCAGGAGGGGCGUUUUUAUGAUAUAAGCAAUCCUGUACCUGCUGGGUGGGCAAUCCACCAACUAAAAAAUAACCAUAUCCCAGAGGCUCUCCCAUAGGAAUGAGAGUCCUGAGCCUCAUGUUGGAUUCCCACGUCUGGGGGUCUGGCAUUGGGAGGAGCUGCCCCCGGAGCAUUUGGCAUUGAAGGCCAGCAGGACUUGGGCACAGGAGCUCCACAGGACUGGGGGAAACAGAGACUCCACUCCCGGAAGGUGCACACAGGCUUUCAUGUGCACUGGGUCCCUGGGCAAAACAAGGACUCCCUAAGAAUCCGUGUCAGACCUACCUGUGAGUCUUGGAGGACCUCCUGGGAAAACAAGGGGCAGCUGUCGGGGAAGGACAUUGGAGGCAGAGGUCUUGGGAAUAAAUACAUAUGCAUACUUUCAGAUUUUAAAGUGAUUUUUUUCUCAAUUUUCCUGAAAUGAAUCAGAGAUCAGGGAAGGCCUUUGGGGGAAGGCCACAUUAUUAACAGAAGUUGAUAAUGGAAAUCAAGUGAGAAUGAAGGUAAAGAUGAUCUGGGGUGAUGGGGUUUGCACUCAGGAGACUGGGAGAAAGGAGUACCAUAAAGAGAAAUAUAGAUGUUAGCCGUGAGUGGAACUGGGGUUAGCAUGGAGGAUGAUUAAUCUGUUUUUAGAUCUGCUAAAUUUGAUGUAACAGGAAGAAGUUAAAAAUGUCCUAGUACAAAAAUUAUAGAAUUUUCUGGGUGUCAUGAGCAAAAAAAUGUAGUUAUAGGAAAGGGUGAGAUCUCAGAGAAAAACAGCUUGGACACUGAAAGACACAGAGGUCUGAGGACUAGAUCUUCAAGAACAGAUACAAGUUUAGCUUCGAACUUCUCUCUCCUCUCUCUUUAGACUCUGUAGGUGAUCUCAUCUGAUUAUAGAGCCAAUUUUGGAUAAAUAAACAUGUUCCGUAUUUACACUCUUAUAAUUUAAAUGUGUCCUGAUAAGUAUAAAGAUAUAAACAAAAUAAAUAUACAGCAAAUACUUGAAGUAAACAAUGAAACCACAGUAUGAAUUAGCAAAUAAAGAGGAACAUUUUAGGGCUAUAAAGAAAAGGUCUAUGGGGAAAUUAACUUCCUCGCUUCUAUUUUUUGGUGAAAAUUUCUAUCUAAAUUCAGUUAUAGAAAAGAUAAGAUUUUGGAAGUUUUAGGAAUCGAGUAUGGCAUACGUGAAGGAGAGUUCUAAGUAAGUUCAGGUGGAUAUAACCAAAAAUAUGACUCAGAACCUAUGGUAUAUAGUUGGGGAGGAAAAAAAGCCAAAAAAGUUCUUCACAUAUACUCACAUUUGUUUAUAAAUCCCUUUAAAAAAGAAUAAACUCACAAAUCAAGAUAAAAUGGUGAUGUAGUUUGGAUCAGGGUUGUGUAAGAUUUUGAAGAGCAGGAGUGCCUUAGUGUAAAGUGUUCUUAUAAGUUCCAAAGAGAGAAAAAGAGAGAAGUUAGGAAAAUGGAUUUUUAAAAACCAAGGUUUAACAUUUUAGAGGCAAAGUGGAAGAAUGGACAGGAGAAGAAAAGUGGUCCAGAAAGACAGGUAUAAUCUGCAUUCAAGAACAUGUGUGGGAUUCUUAUUGCCUUUUAAUAAAAUAUGCAAAGGGGCUUUUCC
RNAcentral lists this long non-coding RNA (6286 nucleotides) under Sus scrofa (pig). Its description in RNAcentral is "lncRNA (ENSSSCG00060019572.1)". Lineage: Eukaryota; Metazoa; Chordata; Mammalia; Artiodactyla; Suidae. The record is from RNAcentral.